This 116-nucleotide ribosomal RNA is filed under the name Pteropus alecto (black flying fox). The record is from RNAcentral. Lineage: Eukaryota; Metazoa; Chordata; Mammalia; Chiroptera; Pteropodidae.
GUCUAUGGCCAUGCCACCCUGAACGUGCCCCAUCUCGUCUGAUCUCGGAAGCUAAGCAGGGUCAGGCUGGUUAGUACUUGGAUGGGAGACCACCUAGAAAUACCAGAUAGUAGGUA